Molecule: non-coding RNA, 746 nt
Filed under: Pan troglodytes (chimpanzee)
Lineage: Eukaryota; Metazoa; Chordata; Mammalia; Primates; Hominidae
Source: RNAcentral
GAGCUCUGUGGGCCCCAGGUGCCCCAGGAAAACUUGGGGGAGAAUGGGCAUCCCACCCCAGCACUUUCUAGGAAGGAGGGCAGCAUUUUGAAGGGCUGGAAGUAGAGGAAGGAGGUUGCGGGUAGAAGACUCCAUACUUUCUGUGAUGCCUAUUCCUUAGUCAGAGGCGUGGCUUGCCUGGGCCCCUGGGUGCAGCUGCACAGAUUCAAGCAGCCUGAAGGAAAGGUGACUGACAGCUAAUGAUCUGAAAAGAACUUGUCUCAACUCAACGUCAUUCCUGGCAUUAUCGAACAAAGCAAUAAACCUCACAGAAUGGAAGCUACAGUGUCCAGGGCCAGCUCUGCUAAGGUAACCAAAGACAGAGAAGGAGGCAAAAGUGACAGAAGAAGCUCAUGGGAAACCAACAGAAAUGUAAUGGCUUUGGCAGAAAUGCAAUUAUCAAUUGGGAGGAGAGCCUUUAUAUAACCAAAGAUAUUUUUGGACCAUGAAUUCGGAAAUUCUCGGAGCCACCCAUCAGUGCCUGAGCUUCAGUGAGUCCAUAUCCCAUGUCACCCACGGCAAAGGAGAAUCUAAGACUUCUGAAGAGUUUCUUGCUUCUUUCCUGUGGGGCAGUGACUCCACUUCCCAGCAGUAAUGGAAUAUCCUGAAUUAGCUACAUUAAUGUUAGAACCAUUUGGACCUCACCCAGGACUUCAACUACAUUAUGCUAAAGUUACAGAACCCAAAUUUGGCAACUGUCUGCAUCU